GUGCCAGCCAACUGUGGCUGCCUGGGACACUCCAUCUUAAGUCCCUGUGCCUCUGCUGUGUGUUACUGAGUGCCUAGGCCGUGCCAGCCUGUAUUCAUCUGUACUAUGACCUGAAGAGGCAGAGGCCAUCAUUGUUGGUCUGGUCUCCACCUGGGGAAACUGAGGUGUCUCUGUGGUGACGAGCAGGGCUUCAUCCAGUGCCUCUGUCCCCACCGAGGGGACUGUGGGAGCCAUGGAGGGUGUGUGAGCAACAGGUGAGACUGGAGCCAGCUGAAAACUGGGAGACCGACCCAGCCAACAAACAAUGUCGGUCUCUGUCCUGGCACCCGCAGGAAACAAGCUCCUACUUCCAGAAAAAGUGCUCCUGGGACUCCAGGAUACCAAGCAUCUGGACGCGGUGGUACAUGCCACCACUUAGGCAGGAGGAUCACUCGAGCCCAGAAGAUCAAGACUAGUGUGAGCAACAAAAUCCUUCCCUGGCACCGGUUCCAAGAGGACCUGGUUCUUAGGCAGCAUCUGUGUCUCUGUUUUGUAAGACACACAGAGUAUCCUUAACCCACUGCAGAUAUUUCCCUGGGUCCAUGGUCAAUCAACACCACCUUUCAGUCUCCAGCCUCUUAACCAGCCCAGGGCUGAGUGUUGUUCAUAGUAUUAAUAUGUUUCUGGCUGGGCUCAGUGGCUCAUGCCUGUAAUCCCGGCACUAUGGGAGGCUGAGGCAGGCGGAGUUCAAGACCAGCCUGGCCAACAUAGUAAAACCCCGUCUCUACUAAAAAUACAAAAAUGAGCCGGGUGUGGUGGUGCGUGUCUAUAAUCCCAGCUACUCGGGAGGCUGAGGCAGGAGAAUUGCUUGAACCUGGGAGGUGGAGGCUACAGUGAGCUGAGAUCAUGCCACUGCACUCCAGCCUGGGCAAGAAAGUGAGACUCCAUCUCAAAACAAAGAAACAAACAAAGUAUUAAUAUGUUCCCCUUGAUCAGUGGGGUGGUUCACCCUUGUAAUCCCAGCACUUUGGGAGGCA
This 1016-nucleotide long non-coding RNA is filed under the name Pan troglodytes (chimpanzee). Its description in RNAcentral is "lincRNA". The record is from RNAcentral. Lineage: Eukaryota; Metazoa; Chordata; Mammalia; Primates; Hominidae.